UAUAUAUAAUAGAGAAAAAAAAAAAAAAAAAAAAGAAUAUCUUUUUCUUUUCAUCAAUUUCUCUCUUUCUUCCUUCCUGGGUUUGUUCUUGCUUUUGGCUUCGGUGAAACAAAGGAAAAAGGCGUAGGAAAUAUAUAAUGGGCUACGUGGUGAUAAUUCCGCUCUGGAUGCUGUUGUUCGUUGUGAUCGUGGGCCUUACUGUUUACCUAUUAGUAAGGGCCCAUAGACGAAGGCAAGCAGCCCAAAUGCCAGUAUAUUACGGGCCUCCUGCUCCCCCAUUGCAAGCCCAAGAUAAGCCCAAUUGAUCUAUCCAAUACAAUUCUCGUACUAGUAUGUUCUGUUGUGUGUGCGCUUUUUUUUUUCGAGAAUGUUUCUUCUUUGUAGAUAUUAAAAUUCUAUCUUGGACUGUUACUAUUUUGUAUAGAAUUAAAUAAAUGAAUUUGAAUUGGAACUUAAUUUAUUGAUAUAUUUUAGCUCA
Benincasa hispida (wax gourd) is the source of this 478-nucleotide long non-coding RNA. RefSeq lists it as uncharacterized. NCBI's taxonomy places the organism in Eukaryota, Viridiplantae, Streptophyta, Magnoliopsida, Cucurbitales, Cucurbitaceae. The record is from RefSeq and is a predicted model, not a curated record.